UACCCUACGGGGGGCAGCAGUGAGGAAUAUUGGUCAAUGGGCGGAAGCCUGAACCAGCCAAGUCGCGUGAGGGAAUAAGGCCCUACGGGUCGUAAACCUCUUUUGCCGGGGAGCAAGGGCGGGGACGUGUCCCGGCCCGGAGAGUACCCGGAGAAAAAGCAUCGGCUAACUCCGUGCCAGCAGCCGCGGUAAUACGGAGGAUGCGAGCGUUAUCCGGAUUUAUUGGGUUUAAAGGGUGCGUAGGCGGAUCGUUAAGUCAGUGGUCAAAUUGAGGGGCUCAACCCCUUCCCGCCAUUGAAACUGGG
Molecule: ribosomal RNA, 305 nt
Filed under: uncultured bacterium
Lineage: Bacteria
Description: bacterial SSU rRNA
Rfam family: Bacterial small subunit ribosomal RNA
Source: RNAcentral